Molecule: ribosomal RNA, 253 nt
Filed under: uncultured bacterium
Lineage: Bacteria
Description: partial 16S ribosomal RNA
Rfam family: Bacterial small subunit ribosomal RNA
Source: RNAcentral
GACAGAGGGUGCAAGCGUUGUUCGGAAUCAUUGGGCGUAAAGCGCACGUAGGCGGUCGUGUAAGUCAGAUGUGAAAGCCCUGGGCUCAACCCAGGAAGUGCAUCUGAUACUGCACGACUUGAGUCCCGGAGAGGGUGGUGGAAUUCCUGGUGUAGAGGUGAAAUUCGUAGAUAUCAGGAGGAACACCGGUGGCGAAGGCGACCACCUGGACGGAGACUGACGCUGAGGUGCGAAAGCGUGGGGAGCAAACAGG